Molecule: transfer RNA, 76 nt
Filed under: Capsulimonas corticalis
Lineage: Bacteria; Bacillati; Armatimonadota; Armatimonadia; Capsulimonadales; Capsulimonadaceae
Description: tRNA-Lys
Rfam family: tRNA
About the family: Transfer RNA (tRNA) molecules are approximately 80 nucleotides in length. Their secondary structure includes four short double-helical elements and three loops (D, anti-codon, and T loops).
Source: RNAcentral
GGGGUCGUAGCUCAGGUGGUAGAGCAGCCGCCUUUUAAGCGGCUCGUCGCAGGUUCAAAUCCUGUCGGCCCCACCA